CGAACGGCAAGUUGAGUAGUAAUACUUGACCUAGAGUGGCGCACGGGUGCGUAACGCGUAUGCAACCUACCCAUUACUGGGGGAUAGCCCGGAGAAAUUCGGAUUAAUACCCCAUGGUAUUAUUGAACGGCAUCGUUUAAUAAUUAAAGAUUUAUCGGUAAUGGAUGGGCAUGCGUCUGAUUAGUUAGUUGGUGAGGUAACGGCUCACCAAGACGAUGAUCAGUAGGGGUUCUGAGAGGAUGAUCCCCCACACUGGCACUGAGAUACGGGCCAGACUCCUACGGGAGGCAGCAGUAGGGAAUAUUGGUCAAUGGUCGAGAGACUGAACCAGCCAUGCCGCGUGCAGGAAGACGGCCUUCUGGGUUGUAAACUGCUUUUAUACGGGAAUAAAAGACUCAUGCGUGAGGCAUUGCAGG
This 416-nucleotide ribosomal RNA is filed under the name uncultured Bacteroidota bacterium. Its description in RNAcentral is "bacterial SSU rRNA". It matches the Rfam family "Bacterial small subunit ribosomal RNA", at positions 63 to 475 of the family's 1533-position model. Lineage: Bacteria; Pseudomonadati; Bacteroidota. The record is from RNAcentral.